CUUUCUCCUGCUUGGGCCAUGUGAAGAUGACUGCUCCUGCUUUGCCUUCCACCAUGACUGUCUGCCCAUGGACAUUCUCUGCACACAGCUAUUAUGGUCAGUACCUGAAAGCUCAGUCCCUCUCCUGUUCUACACAAACACCAAUGUCUCCCCAGUGCCUCACACACCAACUUGAGACUCCUGAGUAACACACGCAUCUGCAUUUUCAAUCAACGCCUUGAGGGACUGAAUCAUCUGCAAAGGGAACAUCCAGACAUGAGAUUACACCUGACAACUAGAUCCCCUCCUGCAUUCAUGCACAAGGCUCUUCUCCUAAAACAGGCUGAUGUGAUGAUAUUAAACGCUUUUUUAUCUGA
Long non-coding RNA from Homo sapiens (human), 356 nucleotides. RefSeq annotates it as PLCL2 antisense RNA 1. The transcript is spliced from 3 exons. The record is from RefSeq and is marked validated. Lineage: Eukaryota; Metazoa; Chordata; Mammalia; Primates; Hominidae.